Molecule: ribosomal RNA, 403 nt
Filed under: uncultured bacterium
Lineage: Bacteria
Description: bacterial SSU rRNA
Rfam family: Bacterial small subunit ribosomal RNA
Source: RNAcentral
CAGGGAAUAUUAGUAAUGGGCGAAAGCCUGAACUAGCAACGCCGCGUGUGCGAAGAAGGCCUUCGGGUUGUAAAGCACUUUUUGAGAGGAUGAGGAAGGACGGUACUCUCAGAAUAAGUCUCGGCUAACUACGUGCCAGCAGCCGCGGUAACACGUAGGAGGCAAACGUUAUCCGGAUUUACUGGGCGUAAAGCGCGUGUAGGUGGUUUGGUAAGUAGGGCGUGAAAGCUCCUGGCUCAACUGGGAGAGGCCGUACUAAACUGCCGAACUAGAGGAUGGUAGAGGGAGGUGGAAUUCCGGGUGUAGCGGUGGAAUGCGCAGAUAUCCGGAGGAACACCAGUGGCGAAAGCGGCCUCCUGGACCAUUCCUGACACUCAGACGCGAAAGCUAGGGUAGCAAACGG